UUCUGGUAUUGGAAUUUCAUU
This 21-nucleotide microRNA is filed under the name Prunus persica (peach). RNAcentral's name for it is "ppe-miR6270". The record is from miRBase by way of RNAcentral. Lineage: Eukaryota; Viridiplantae; Streptophyta; Magnoliopsida; Rosales; Rosaceae.